This 253-nucleotide ribosomal RNA is filed under the name uncultured bacterium. Its description in RNAcentral is "partial 16S ribosomal RNA". It matches the Rfam family "Bacterial small subunit ribosomal RNA", at positions 524 to 776 of the family's 1533-position model. The record is from RNAcentral.
UACGUAGGGUGCGAGCGUUAAUCGGAAUUACUGGGCGUAAAGCGUGCGUAGGCGGUUCGCUGUGUCGGUCGUGAAAGCCCCGGGCUUAACCUGGGAAUGGCGAUGGAAACUGGCGAGCUGGAGUGCGGCAGAGGGGGGUGGAAUUCCGCGUGUAGCAGUGAAAUGCGUAGAGAUGCGGAGGAACACCGAUGGCGAAGGCAGCCCCCUGGGUCGACACUGACGCUCAGGCACGAAAGCGUGGGGAGCAAACAGG